GCACAACCCAGGCUAUGAGACCUUGAAGCUGUCAAAGCAGGAAGAAAAACUGAGGCUUCAGUUAAGAUAGGGGGGUAGCUAGCCUGGGAAGAGAUUAAGACAGCAGAAUGGUAUGAAAACAUGCACUACCAAUAGUAUUCUUAGGCAGGGGGCUUUUCGCUAUGCUUCAACCAAUUACACGCUGACGUGCGUUCGCCACGAUCUAUAUAUGUGCAUAAGUAACGGAUAAUAAACGGAGACUCUAAUGCACUCAUAUGGGUCAUGUCAUCACUCCCCACGCGGCUCGGCCAGCAAAUGGACUAAAUUCCGGUUUCGAACCCUUGGGGAUCUGCGACAACCCGGGACCAGGGGGGUCCACAACAGUUAACUAACGACUGAACAGAACACAGAAGAGGUAACCAUAGAAGCUGAUUCAGGUAUGGAGAGAUGCAGCUUUAGAAGAUACUCUUCAGAAAAGAAAACACCCAUAUUUGUAGGAAGUUUGCACUAGUCACAAAGUGAAGGAGCUGAACAGAAAUGGCAACAGUAACCUCCCAAGGCACUCCUGACUGAAGUCUACAUUGCUAGAUAAACCAAGUGUCCUCAGCCUCUCCUCAGGCGAAGUACCCUCUGGCCCUUUUAUCCGCUUUGCUGCCUACCUCUGCGCACUUUCAAGGAGCCAAACAUCAUUUUUAAUUGUGGAUUCCAGAACUGCAUGCAGUAUUCAAGGGCCAGAGUAAUCCCAAGAAAACAGAAGAUACUCUGAAAACACAGAUGUUAUUCAGUCCACUGGAAAUCAUCUCCCCAAGAGAUCUAUACUUCACCUCAGUAAGGUUGAGUUAGCCUUCAAAAAUACACAGAAGGAAAUAAAAGCCUCAGAGAGGUAGCAAAUCCAGCUAAGCCACAAAUGAGUCAACAUGUCCGUUAAGAUGCAUUGACUUUCCAUCCAUUUACAUUUAGAGACGAGGGGAACAAAAAAGACCUUUCAGUCCAGCUCUGUGUUCUGAGAUUUUGUGUCAGCAGCAUGUGGAAUUUCCUUCGGUCACUUAAUGUCAUCAUAUCGUAUAGGCAACAGCACUCGGGACAGCACAGCAGCGCUGCUUUAUGGCUGCAGGGCCACCAGUUGAAAAUUCAUCUGAAACGUGACUUCAGCAGUGCAAAUGCUCAACUUGUCCUGAUGGUUGUUCCAGACCUCAGUAACACAUGCAAUUGCUGUAACUGACAGCACAAAUGCUGCCUUGAUAGCAUGUAUGCUGUUGCCACCACCGAAAGGUA
This 1254-nucleotide long non-coding RNA is filed under the name Gallus gallus (chicken). The record is from RNAcentral. Lineage: Eukaryota; Metazoa; Chordata; Aves; Galliformes; Phasianidae.